Molecule: microRNA precursor, 168 nt
Filed under: Pelobates cultripes (western spadefoot toad)
Lineage: Eukaryota; Metazoa; Chordata; Amphibia; Anura; Pelobatidae
Source: RNAcentral
GCAGACACAUUCCAGCCAAUCAGCAGCAGACCCUCCCUCUUAGACCCUUCCACCUCCUGGACAGCUCACUAAGAAUGCAGCUUCACAAUGAAUGUAAAAUGGAUGCUGUCCAGGAGAUGGGAGGGUCUGGGAGGGAGGGUCUGCUGCUGAUUGGCUGGAAUGUGUCUG